ACGUACACUCCUGCGGGAGGCAGCAGUAGGGAAUCUUCCACAAUGGGUGCAAACCUGAUGGAGCAAUGCCGCGUGAGUGAAGAAGGUCUUCGGAUCGUAAAGCUCUGUUGUUAGAGAAGAACACGUGCUAGGUAACUACUAGCGCCUUGACGGUAUCUAACCAGAAAGUCACGGCUAACUACGUGCCAGCAGCCGCGGUAAUACGUAGGUGACAAGCGUUGUCCGGAUUUAUUGGGCGUAAAGGGAGCGCAGGCGGUCUGUUUAGUCUAAUGUGAAAGCCCACGGCUUAACCGUGGAACGGCAUUGGAAACUGACAGACUUGAAUGUAGAAGAGGAAAAUGGAAUUCCAAGUGUAGCGGUGGAAUGCGUAGAUAUUUGGAGGAACACCAGUGGCGAAGGCGAUUUUCUGGUCUAACAUUGACGCUGAGGCUCGAAAGCGUGGGGAGCGAACAGGAUUAGAUACCCGUGUAGUCC
This 474-nucleotide ribosomal RNA is filed under the name uncultured organism. RNAcentral's name for it is "partial 16S ribosomal RNA". It matches the Rfam family "Bacterial small subunit ribosomal RNA", at positions 329 to 796 of the family's 1533-position model. The record is from RNAcentral.